This 301-nucleotide ribosomal RNA is filed under the name uncultured bacterium. RNAcentral's name for it is "partial 16S ribosomal RNA". It matches the Rfam family "Bacterial small subunit ribosomal RNA", at positions 509 to 807 of the family's 1533-position model. The record is from RNAcentral.
CAGCCGCCGCGGUAAUACGGAGGGUGCAAGCGUUAUCCGGAUUUAUUGGGUUUAAAGGGUCCGUAGGCGGAUCUGUAAGUCAGUGGUGAAAUCUCACAGCUUAACUGUGAAACUGCCAUUGAUACUGCAGGUCUUGAGUAAAUUUGAAGUGGCUGGAAUAAGUAGUGUAGCGGUGAAAUGCAUAGAUAUUACUUAGAACACCAAUUGCGAAGGCAGGUUACCAAGAUAUAACUGACGCUGAGGGACGAAAGCGUGGGUAGCGAACAGGAUUAGAUACCCGGGUAGUCCCUGUCUCUUAUAC